This 403-nucleotide ribosomal RNA is filed under the name uncultured bacterium. RNAcentral's name for it is "partial 16S ribosomal RNA". It matches the Rfam family "Bacterial small subunit ribosomal RNA", at positions 28 to 526 of the family's 1533-position model. The record is from RNAcentral.
GACGAACGCUGGCGGCGUGCCUAAUACAUGCAAGUCGAACGCAGUGGGGACGGGUGAGUAACACGUGGGUAACCUCCCAUCAGAGGGGAUAACACUUGGAAACAGGUGCUAAACCGAUACUGAUGGAUGGACCCGCGGUGCAUUAGCUAGUUGGUGAGGUAACGGCUCACCAAGGCCACGAUGCAUAGCCGAACUGAGAGGGUGUGUGGCCAGACUGGGACUGGGAACGGGCCCGGACUCCUACGGGAGGCAGCAGUAGGGAAUCUUCGGCAAGGGACGAAAGUCUGACCGAGAAACGCCGCGUGAGUGAAGAAGGUUUUCGGAUCGUAAAACUCUGUUGUUAGAGAAGCGGUAUCUAACCAGAAAGCCACGGCUAACUACGUGCCAGCAGCCGCGGUAAUAC